Molecule: long non-coding RNA, 1600 nt
Organism: Bombus huntii
Lineage: Eukaryota; Metazoa; Arthropoda; Insecta; Hymenoptera; Apidae
Exons: 2
Source: RefSeq, a predicted model, not a curated record
AACAUAUAGUAUUGAAUAAGUAAUGGAAGUUUAAUACAUACCAGCUGGAACCUGCUUUCGCUGAAGCUGAAGCAUAUGAAUUUCCACCACCGCCACUACAAUAAUAUAAAAUCACAAGAUGUUAUUUCAAAUAUUUCGAAAAUGACAAAAAUAAUUUAGUUUAAAUGGAACCUCGUUCAGUUCAGUCAGGUUGAAUUUAAACUUCUUAGAAAAGUUAGAAGUUCUAAAGAACAAUAUAUUAAAAACGAAAAGUCAACUUUACAAAGUAGGAUUGUUGAAAGACGUCAUCCUGUCAUAUUUGGUGCUCUCUUAAAAGAGUUAAGUAUAGGACAUGGAAAAUGCUAUAGAGAUUAUGUCAGAAUUUUCGUAGAAAAGUUUGAAUAUUGGCUUAAUAUAAUUGAACACAAGUUUUAAAAUAAUUAUCUUGGUUUACCAUCAAUUAGAACAAAAGUAGAAACAACGUUACGCUCCUGUCAAGUCAAAGAAAGAAGGACAGUUAAGAGAUUUACGCAGUGUCUAUACCGGAUAUCGUGUUUAUAGCUUUUCAAAUAUUGAAACAGUCUCCUCCUUCGUGCCUUGAAAACUCUUAUCGAUGUAUACAAAUGUACUCAAGUAGAAAUAGUUCGCAGAAAAUUGUGAAAUGAAGUUCUAAUUAAACGUAUGCAUACCCAAUAAAGUCAUUUGUUUUUCGAAAACUCAUUUGUCAAAGUUUUAUGCUAGAAUUUUUUUCUAUUUAUUAUUCAGUGCAGAAAUAUUCCUCUUUCAUUUCUAUCUACUAAUGAUGAUGGUGUAUCUUGCAUAAAAUAUUAAUCUUCAGAUGCAAUUUCUCUGCACUACAAUUUUUAUUGUUCUUCGUUACUUUUUAGUGUUCUAUUAUUUUCUGAUUUAUUUAAAAUAUACAGGUUGUUCCAAAGUUUAAUAAUCGAACAGAAAAUGUUAUGUAAACAUAAAUCAUUUGAAGCUUCUUCAAAAAAUUAUAGUAAAAAUACAUAAUGUGAGAAAAAUAAUUGGAUUUUUAUGUAACUUGCAUAACUUUACACAAGAAUAAUAAAACAAACAAAUCUUCAUGAGUGUGGUGAACGGUUCAUUGAGAAGAAAUAAAUUCAAGUUGAUGCUGUCAGUUUUGUAUCGAUAGGAACAGUCAAUAUUUUGAAAUGCAAUGUUAGCAGUCAAUGACCAUGUUGAUUGUAAACCUAUUCUUAUUUAUAGCAUAGUAACUGUAACGUGUUCUUAUUAUUCCCUUUCGUAUCGCUAUUACAAGGCUGUAAAUGACUUAUAUAUUUUUGUUAUGUUAUAUCCAUAAAAUACUAUGAUAAAGUUUGGCAGUUAAACCCUGAAACAUCCUAUAUAAAAACCUAAUCUAAAGUAUAAUUUGGAAAGCCUAUUUCAAUAACUUCGGUAUAAAAUCGUUUUUACCAAUAAAAAAAGAUAGCAGUAUCAAAUGAGCAGUCGAUGGCAGUUAACAACAAUACGAAUGAGAUAAGCAAAAAUAAUAGUAUAACGAAAAAUUCAAUGAGUUGCAAGUAAAUUUGAUAAAUACUUAUUAUGAAAUUUCUUCUUCUCUGUUUCUUAUUUGUUGAUACUCUUAGAUACUACAAUA